RNAcentral lists this unclassified non-coding RNA (329 nucleotides) under soil metagenome. Its description in RNAcentral is "partial contains 5.8S ribosomal RNA, internal transcribed spacer 2, and large subunit ribosomal RNA". The stretch from base 1 to 120 matches the Rfam family "5.8S ribosomal RNA", at positions 35 to 154 of the family's 154-position model. The record is from RNAcentral.
GAUGAAGAACGCAGCGAAAUGCGAUAAGUAGUGUGAAUUGCAGAAUUCAGUGAAUCAUCGAAUCUUUGAACGCACAUUUCGCCCCUUGGUAUCCCGAGGGGCAUGCCUGUUCGAGCGUCAUUUCACCACUCAAGCCUGGCUUGGUGUUGGGCGACGUCCUCUUUGGGGACGCGCCUCGAAACGCUCGGCGGCGUGGCACCGGCUUUAAGCGUAGCAGAAUCUUUCGCUUUGGAAGUCGGGGCCCCGUCUGCCGGAAGACCUGCUCGCAAGGUUGACCUCGGAUCAGGCAGGGAUACCCGCUGAACUUAAGCAUAUCAAUAAGCGGAGGA